GACGAACGCUGGCGGCGUGCUUAACACAUGCAAGUCGAACGGUAAGGCCCUUCGGGGUACACGAGUGGCGAACGGGUGAGUAACACGUGGGUGAUCUGCCCUGCACUUCGGGAUAAGCCUGGGAAACUGGGUCUAAUACCGGAUAGGACUCCUGGCUUCAUGGUUGGGGGUGGAAAGCUUUUGCGGUGUGGGGUGGGCCCGCGGCCUAUCAGCUUGUUGGUGGGGUAAUGGCCUACCAAGGCGACGACGGGUAGCCGGCCUGAGAGGGUGACCGGUCACACUGGGACUGAGAUACGGCCCAGACUCCUACGGGAGGCAGCAGUGGGGAAUAUGGCACAAUGGGCGCAAGCCUGAUGCAGCGACGCCGCGUGAGGGAUGACGGCCUUCGGGUUGUAAACCUCUUUCAGCUAUGACGAAGCGCAAGUGACGGUAGUAGCAGAAGAAGGACCGGCCAGCUACGUGCCAGCCGCCGCAGUAA
Molecule: ribosomal RNA, 478 nt
Filed under: uncultured bacterium
Lineage: Bacteria
Description: partial 16S ribosomal RNA
Rfam family: Bacterial small subunit ribosomal RNA
Source: RNAcentral